GACGAAUGCUGGCGGCGUGCUUAACACAUGCAAGUCGAGCGGAGCAGCGAACGGGUGAGUAACGCGAGAGUAACUGCCCCCCUCUCUGGGAUAACAGUUGGAAACGGCUGCUAAUACCGGACAGUGGGGGAUGACUUGCGUCCUAUCAGCUUGUUGGAGGGGUAGUGGCCUACCAAGGCGACGACGGGUAGCCGGACGUAGAGGGCGACCGGUCAACUUGGGCUGAGAUACGGCCCGAACUCCUACUGGAGGCAGCAGUGGGGAAUAGUGCACAAGGGGGGAAACCCGAAUGCAGCAACGCCGCGUGCGUGGUGACGGCCUUCGGGGUGUAAACCGCUUUCAGCCAUGACGCGUUAGUGGCAGAAGAAGCACCGGCUAACUACGUGCCAGCAGCCGCGGUAAUUC
This 405-nucleotide ribosomal RNA is filed under the name uncultured bacterium. RNAcentral describes it as "partial 16S ribosomal RNA". It matches the Rfam family "Bacterial small subunit ribosomal RNA", at positions 28 to 526 of the family's 1533-position model. The record is from RNAcentral.